RNAcentral lists this ribosomal RNA (502 nucleotides) under uncultured Glomus. Its description in RNAcentral is "SSU rRNA". It matches the Rfam family "Eukaryotic small subunit ribosomal RNA", at positions 569 to 1074 of the family's 1831-position model. Lineage: Eukaryota; Fungi; Glomeromycota; Glomeromycetes; Glomerales; Glomeraceae. The record is from RNAcentral.
AGCAGCCGCGGUAAUUCCAGCUCCAAUAGCGUAUAUUAAAGUUGUUGCAGUUAAAAAGCUCGUAGUUGAAUUUCGAGAUCAAAUUGUUGGUCGUGCCUCGGUACGUACUGGCAUUAUUGAUUUCUCCCUUCUGAAGAACCACGAUGUCAUUAAUUUGGUGUCGUGGGGAAUCAGGACUGUUACUUUGAAAAAAUUAGAGUGUUUAAAGCAGGCUCACGCUUGAAUACAUUAGCAUGGAAUAAUGAAAUAGGACGUUUGAUUCUAUUUUGUUGGUUUCUAGGAUCGACGUAAUGAUUAAUAGGGAUAGUUGGGGGCAUUAGUAUUCAAUUGUCAGAGGUGAAAUUCUUGGAUUUAUUGAAGACUAACUACUGCGAAAGCAUUUGCCAAGGAUGUUUUCAUUAAUCAAGAACGAAAGUUAGGGGAUCGAAGACGAUCAGAUACCGUCGUAGUCUUAACCACAAACUAUGCCGACUAGGGAUCGGAUGAUGUUAAUUUUUAAUGA